Molecule: transfer RNA, 90 nt
Filed under: Candidatus Uhrbacteria bacterium RIFCSPLOWO2_01_FULL_55_36
Lineage: Bacteria; Candidatus Uhriibacteriota
Also listed under: 1 other name
Description: tRNA-Ser
Rfam family: tRNA
About the family: Transfer RNA (tRNA) molecules are approximately 80 nucleotides in length. Their secondary structure includes four short double-helical elements and three loops (D, anti-codon, and T loops). Further hydrogen bonds mediate the characteristic L-shaped molecular structure. tRNAs have two regions of fundamental functional importance: the anti-codon, which is responsible for specific mRNA codon recognition, and the 3' end, to which the tRNAs corresponding amino acid is attached (by aminoacyl-tRNA synthetases). tRNAs cope with the degeneracy of the genetic code in two manners: having more than one tRNA (with a specific anti-codon) for a particular amino acid; and 'wobble' base-pairing, i.e. permitting non-standard base-pairing at the 3rd anti-codon position.
Source: RNAcentral
GGAGAGGUGGCUGAGUGGCCGAAAGCGGCGCCGUGCUAAGGCGUUAGGGAUGAAAGUCCCUCGUGGGUUCGAAUCCCACCCUCUCCGCCA